This 380-nucleotide ribosomal RNA is filed under the name uncultured eukaryote. Its description in RNAcentral is "partial 18S ribosomal RNA". It matches the Rfam family "Eukaryotic small subunit ribosomal RNA", at positions 592 to 976 of the family's 1831-position model. The record is from RNAcentral.
CAAUAGCGUAUAUUAAAGUUGUUGCAGUUAAAAAGCUCGUAGUUGGAUUUGUGGCGUACGGUGGGUUCCGGGCACUUGUUGUCUGAGUAACCUGCUGUUGCCAUCCUUGGGUGGAACCUGUGUGGCAUUAGGUUGUCGUGCAGGGGAUGCCCAUCAUUUACUGUGAAAAAAUUAGAGUGUUCAAAGCAGGCUUAUGCCGUUGAAUAUAUUAGCAUGGAAUAAUGAGAUAGGACUUUUUUGCUAUUUUGUUGGUUUGCGCAAAGAGGUAAUGAUUAAUAGGGACAGUUGGGGGUAUUCGUAUUCCAUUGUCAGAGGUGAAAUUCUUGGAUUUUUGGAAGACGAACUACUGCGAAAGCAUUUACCAAGGAUGUUUUCAUUAA